GCCCGUGAAUUCUAGAACCAUGCCAAAUCGAUCAUCAGUUCUUGAGACUCCUGUUCAGAAGCAAAUCCAAUUCCAGAAAACAAAUCAGGAGCCUAAUUUCAAAUGGAGUGGAUUCUGGGGGAGAUGGUCGAUGAGUCAUGACAGUAAGCUAGGCCCAUUCUCAGCGGCUGUCCGUGCAUAUCCAUGAUUAUGAUGCCAUGAUGCCUUGUCAUCUGGAUAUCAUGUGUUGUUUGGGUCCUUGCUUUCGCAUAAGGUGCACCUCUUGCAGCAAUCUGUUGUGCACGAAGAAUAUUCUGUUGUCUUUUCCACCAACACAUCGAACAGAUAACCAUGACGAGGAAUGCCACAGAUGCACCAAAGGCAAUGCCAAUUUUUGCACCAGCAGAUAGGUGGGGCCCACAAGUAGGCAAUCCAGGUAUACCACAAAGACCUGAAUUAUCAGUAAAAUUGAAGCUAGCGCCAUGCAAAAGCCUUCCUCCUAGUGGAACAGGAACUUUUCCAGAUAAGGAGUUGCCAUUGAGAUUCAAUCUCCGCAGCAAUG
RNAcentral lists this unclassified non-coding RNA (541 nucleotides) under Hevea brasiliensis (rubber tree). Lineage: Eukaryota; Viridiplantae; Streptophyta; Magnoliopsida; Malpighiales; Euphorbiaceae. The record is from RNAcentral.